Molecule: ribosomal RNA, 400 nt
Filed under: uncultured bacterium
Lineage: Bacteria
Description: bacterial SSU rRNA
Rfam family: Bacterial small subunit ribosomal RNA
Source: RNAcentral
AUUGAACGCUGGCGGAAUGCUUUACACAUGCAAGUCGAACGGUAGAGGGGGCAACCCCUUGAGAGUGGCGAACGGGUGAGUAAUAUAUCGGAACGUGCCCAGUCGUGGGGAUAACGUAGCGAAAGUUACGCUAAUACCGCAUACGAUCUACGGAUGAAAGCGGGGGACUCGCAAGAGCCUCGCGCGAUUGGAGCGGCCGAUAUCAGAUUAGGUAGUUGGUGGGGUAAAGGCUCACCAAGCCAACGAUCUGUAGCUGGUCUGAGAGGACGACCAGCCACACUGGAACUGAGACACGGUCCAGACUCCUACGGGAGGCAGCAGUGGGGAAUAUUGGACAAUGGGCGCAAGCCUGAUCCAGCCAUGCCGCGUGUGUGAAGAAGGCCUCGGUUCGGUAAGUACG